GACGAACGCUGGCGGCGUGCUUAACACAUGCAAGUCGUACGGUAAGGCCCUUUCGGGGGUACACGAGUGGCGAACGGGGGAGUAACACGUGAGUAACCUGCCCACAACUUUGGGAUAACGCUAGGAAACUGGUGCUAAUACUGGAUAUGUGCCCCUGCUGCAUGGUGGGGGUUGGAAAGCUCCGGCGGUUGUGGAUGGACUCGCGGCCUAUCAGCUUGUUGGUGGGGUAGUGGCCUACCAAGGCGGCGACGGGUAGCCGGCCUGAGAGGGUGACCGGCCACAUUGGGACUGAGAUACGGCCCAGACUCCUACGGGAGGCAGCAGUGGGGAAUAUUGCACAAUGGGCGCAAGCCUGAUGCAGCAACGCCGCGUGCGGGAUGACGGCCUUCGGGUUGUAAACCGCUUUCAGCAGGGACGAAGCUUUUUGUGACGGUACCUGCAGAAGAAGCACCGGCUAACUACGUG
This 465-nucleotide ribosomal RNA is filed under the name uncultured bacterium. RNAcentral describes it as "partial 16S ribosomal RNA". It matches the Rfam family "Bacterial small subunit ribosomal RNA", at positions 28 to 507 of the family's 1533-position model. The record is from RNAcentral.